CCUACGGGUGGCAGCAGUCGGGAAUAUUGCUCAAUGGGGGAAACCCUGAAGCAGCAACGCCGCGUGGAGGAUGAAGGUUUUCGGAUUGUACACUACUUUUGUUAGAGAAGAUAAUGACGGUAUCUAACGAAUAAGCACCGGCUAACUCCGUGCCCGCAGCCGCAGUAAUACGGAGGUUGCAAGCGUUACUCGGGAUCACUGGGCGUAAAGAGCGCGUAGGCGGGAUAGCAAGUCAGAUGUGAAAUCCUAUGGCUUAACCAUAGAACUGCAUUUGAAACUGUUAUUCUAGAGUAUGGGAGAGGUAGGUGGAAGUCUUGGUGGAGGGGUAAAAUCCGUAGAGAUCAAGAGGAAUACGCAUAGCGAAGGCGACCUGCUAGAACAUAACUGACGCUGAUGCGCGAAAGCGUGGGGAGCAAACAGGAUUAGAUACCCGGGUAGUC
RNAcentral lists this ribosomal RNA (440 nucleotides) under uncultured bacterium. Its description in RNAcentral is "partial 16S ribosomal RNA". It matches the Rfam family "Bacterial small subunit ribosomal RNA", at positions 338 to 795 of the family's 1533-position model. The record is from RNAcentral.